RNAcentral lists this transfer RNA (77 nucleotides) under Candidatus Magasanikiibacteriota bacterium. RNAcentral describes it as "Candidatus Magasanikbacteria bacterium tRNA-Ile". It matches the Rfam family "tRNA". From Rfam's summary of the family: Transfer RNA (tRNA) molecules are approximately 80 nucleotides in length. Their secondary structure includes four short double-helical elements and three loops (D, anti-codon, and T loops). RNAcentral also lists the same sequence under 3 other names. Lineage: Bacteria; Candidatus Magasanikiibacteriota. The record is from RNAcentral.
GGGCGAUUAGCUCAGAUGGUUAGAGCGCGUCACUGAUAAUGACGAGGUCUGAGGUUCGAUUCCUCAAUCGCCCACCA